This 517-nucleotide ribosomal RNA is filed under the name uncultured bacterium. RNAcentral's name for it is "bacterial SSU rRNA". It matches the Rfam family "Bacterial small subunit ribosomal RNA", at positions 29 to 517 of the family's 1533-position model. The record is from RNAcentral.
AGCGAACGCUGGCGGCGUGCUUAACACAUGCAAGUCGAGGGAGAACGGAGGGCUUCGGCCUUCUUAGUAAACCGGCGCACGGGUGAGUAACACGUAGGUAACCUACCUCCGAGUUCGGGAUAACCUGUCGAAAGAUAGGCUAAUACCGGAUAAGACCACGAUGGCUUCGGCCACUGCGGUCAAAGAUGGCCUCUAUUUAUACGCUAUCGCUUGGGGAUGGGCCUGCGCACCAUUAGCUAGUUGGUGAGGUAACGGCUCACCAAGGCUACGAUGGUUAGUUGGUCUGAGAGGAUGACCAGCCACACUGGGACUGAGACACGGCCCAGACUCCUACGGGAGGCAGCAGUGGGGAAUAUUGCGCAAUGGGGGAAACCCUGACGCAGCGACGCCGCGUGGGUGAUGAAGGCCUUCGGGUCGUAAAGCCCUGUCGGAGGGGAAGAAGGACUCUCGUGCAAAUAGUUCGAGGGUUUGACGGUACCCUUAGAGGAAGCACCGGCUAACUCCGUGCCAGCAGCCG